Molecule: ribosomal RNA, 1449 nt
Filed under: Weissella confusa
Lineage: Bacteria; Bacillati; Bacillota; Bacilli; Lactobacillales; Lactobacillaceae
Description: bacterial SSU rRNA
Rfam family: Bacterial small subunit ribosomal RNA
Source: RNAcentral
UGCAAGUCGAACGCUUUGUGGUUCAACUUGAUUUGAAGAAGCUUGCUCAGAUAUGACGAUGGACAUUGCAAAGAGUGGCGAACGGGUGAGUAACACGUGGGAAACCUACCUCUUAGCAGGGGAUAACAUUUGGAAACAGAUGCUAAUACCGUAUAACAAUGACAACCGCAUGGUUGUUAUUUAAAAGAUGGUUCUGCUAUCACUAAGAGAUGGUCCCGCGGUGCAUUAGCUAGUUGGUAAGGUAAUGGCUUACCAAGGCGAUGAUGCAUAGCCGAGUUGAGAGACUGAUCGGCCACAAUGGGACUGAGACACGGCCCAUACUCCUACGGGAGGCAGCAGUAGGGAAUCUUCCACAAUGGGCGAAAGCCUGAUGGAGCAACGCCGCGUGUGUGAUGAAGGGUUUCGGCUCGUAAAACACUGUUGUAAGAGAAGAAUGACAUUGAGAGUAACUGUUCAAUGUGUGACGGUAUCUUACCAGAAAGGAACGGCUAAAUACGUGCCAGCAGCCGCGGUAAUACGUAUGUUCCAAGCGUUAUCCGGAUUUAUUGGGCGUAAAGCGAGCGCAGACGGUUAUUUAAGUCUGAAGUGAAAGCCCUCAGCUCAACUGAGGAAUUGCUUUGGAAACUGGAUGACUUGAGUGCAGUAGAGGAAAGUGGAACUCCAUGUGUAGCGGUGAAAUGCGUAGAUAUAUGGAAGAACACCAGUGGCGAAGGCGGCUUUCUGGACUGUAACUGACGUUGAGGCUCGAAAGUGUGGGUAGCAAACAGGAUUAGAUACCCUGGUAGUCCACACCGUAAACGAUGAGUGCUAGGUGUUUGAGGGUUUCCGCCCUUAAGUGCCGCAGCUAACGCAUUAAGCACUCCGCCUGGGGAGUACGACCGCAAGGUUGAAACUCAAAGGAAUUGACGGGGACCCGCACAAGCGGUGGAGCAUGUGGUUUAAUUCGAAGCAACGCGAAGAACCUUACCAGGUCUUGACAUCCCUUGACAACUCCAGAGAUGGAGCGUUCCCUUCGGGGACAAGGUGACAGGUGGUGCAUGGUUGUCGUCAGCUCGUGUCGUGAGAUGUUGGGUUAAGUCCCGCAACGAGCGCAACCCUUAUUACUAGUUGCCAGCAUUCAGUUGGGCACUCUAGUGAGACUGCCGGUGACAAACCGGAGGAAGGUGGGGAUGACGUCAAAUCAUCAUGCCCCUUAUGACCUGGGCUACACACGUGCUACAAUGGCGUAUACAACGAGUUGCCAACCCGCGAGGGUGAGCUAAUCUCUUAAAGUACGUCUCAGUUCGGAUUGUAGGCUGCAACUCGCCUACAUGAAGUCGGAAUCGCUAGUAAUCGCGGAUCAGCACGCCGCGGUGAAUACGUUCCCGGGUCUUGUACACACCGCCCGUCACACCAUGAGAGUUUGUAACACCCAAAGCCGGUGGGGUAACCUUCGGGAGCCAGCCGUCU